UAGAUAAAAGCCUGUUGGAUUUAGGUGUUUAGCUGUUAACUAAAAUGUUUAUGGGAUCGAAGCCCAUUUAUCUAG
This 75-nucleotide transfer RNA is filed under the name Ranacephala hogei (Hoge's toadhead turtle). Its description in RNAcentral is "Mesoclemmys hogei (Hoge's toadhead turtle) tRNA-Asn". The record is from RNAcentral. Lineage: Eukaryota; Metazoa; Chordata; Testudines; Chelidae.